CAAACAUUUCUCCAUCAGCAUCAAAUAUCCCACUAUCGCCUCCUUCGAACAUGUCACCACCACCUCAAUAUCCUACUGAUGACGCUUACCACCAGCCACCUCACUAUCCUACUGAUGACUCUUACCACCAGCCACCUCAAUAUCCUAAUGAUGACUCCUACCACCAGCCACCUCAAUAUCAUAAUGAUGACACUUACCACCAGCCACCUCACUAUCCUACUGAUGACUCUUACCACCAGCCACCUCAAUAUCCUAAUGAUGACUCCUACCACCAGCCACCUCAAUAUCAUAAUGAUGACACUUACCACCAGCCACCUCACUAUCCUACUGAUGACUCUUACCACCAGCCACCUCAAUAUCCUACCGAUGACACUUACCACCAGCCACCUUCAAGCAACAGAACAGAACAUUCUCCUUAUUCUCAUCAGCCGUAUCAUCCUCCACCCUACCAUCAAGAACCAAAGCAGCACUUACCGCAACAGUACCAUCCUCACGACGUUCCCCCAUACUCAUAUCCUAAUUUC
Molecule: long non-coding RNA, 524 nt
Filed under: Olea europaea (common olive)
Lineage: Eukaryota; Viridiplantae; Streptophyta; Magnoliopsida; Lamiales; Oleaceae
Description: long non-coding RNA (OEUR_LNC007499)
Source: RNAcentral